CAGCGCCGCAUCCCGGGAGCGGGCCCCACGCUCAGCCUGGCGGUUCGAGGCGAAACCCCGCGCGUGCUCACCCCCUUCCGUGCAGAGAGCGAGACGUGGACAGGCGCCGCGUAGAUCCGGGGGAGGCUCCCAGCUGGAACCAGCCUUCGGGCCGCGCCACGGCCCCUCCCUCCCGCGCCGCGGUCGGAAGAGCACCCGCGUCCCCGGGCCCCGCUUCCAGCCUCGAGUGCUGCGGCGGGCAGGCUCGCAGCCGCGGGCGGAGCCGACGACAGGCCUCCACCGGUCUCAGGAUGAGCCAGGAGUUUCGUUUUGGCUCGGGAUUGUGCGGGCACCCUGCGCAUCCGGGCUCGGCUGUUGGGGUGGGGCCCAUCUGCAAAGGUGAGGAGGCAUCGGGAAGGCCCGCGGGCUGCGCCUUGGCACGUUUGGAGUCUUCUCUCGCCUCUGCCUGCUGCGCCUUUGUCCUCGGGGUUCUUGGAGGCCAGGCUCAAACGCACACUAGUUUCACGGGCCUCACCCUCCCAGCCUUCUUCUCACGGGUUUCUGCGCCAUCACCCCCACCUCUCAGUAUCUUUUUGCAUUAGGGGUCCCACAGAACCCUGAAGGAAUGUCAAGGUGAGCUUCACCCCUUGCUCUUGGCAAAGCCAAAAUAAGGUUAGAACUCCGUUUCUGGAUUCCCAUUAGAAUCCCCCCCCCCCCUCGUUUCCAGACUCCCAGUCCAGCACUGUUUACAUUAACGCAGUGGGUGUUCCCAGGAAUCCUGGCUCAGGAGCUACCCUCUAAAAGAGGGUGUCGGUGCCAAAUGGGUUUGUCAAGGUGCUAUCUCGCCUUCUUGGAGAUUCACGAUGCUCAUUAGCAUACCAAAGGCUCUGAGAAGUCCUGCUGUAAAAGAAGCUCAAGUGAUUUGGUUUACAGUGUUAACUGCCUCUGGACCUGGACCAGUUACUUUUUGCCACCUAAGACUUCCGAGCAUCCCUGUGCUGGCUUGGCUGUCAUUCUUUCCUAAGGGAUCCAACCCAUUGGCUGUGGUAUGAUUGAAGAUCUGGGGUGCUCCUCUUUCCUAGGGAAUUUCUCUAGCAGAGGGAGGGCUUGCCUCAGUGGGGGAGAAGAUAGCCAUCCCUGCCAGGCCCCGGAGAGACCUGGGAGUCGGUAGAUCGGAACAUUGCUCUACAUUGUUUGAAAAAUGAAGUCAAGGUUAUCCAAGUGGUUACCUACUCAAGAGGAACAUUAUCUGUAUGAGAUGCUGGCAUUGACUGUGAGCAACUGGCAGGAGUGGGUCUCAUUCGCCAAAGAGAGAAGAACACUCCGAGUUGGGGUGAACAGCUGGCCCAGUCUCUGUAAGGUUUCCAGGUACAGAGAUUCCCAGGGCUCGCUUCCCUGGGCAGUGGACCCUGUUCUGGCCUGGGCCAGCAGAGAGGCUGCCGAGUGGGGAGCGCGGAUGACCCCUGCCCAGCAGCUUCCCUUCAGCAUUAUCCAGUGGAAGAUCCAAGAUGCGUAAAGAUUCAUUUUACAUUGACACAUGAGAAAUUCUGAAUCUCUUUAUGGUGUGCCUUGGGCCCAAGAUUCCAGACACCUGGAACUGAGCCGUGCACCUCUGUGCCCUGAACAGCGGGCUUUAGCUCCAGCUUUUGUCCCUUUUUUCUCUUUCCAGAUCACCAUUGAAAUUGCAUCCUCAGCUCAGAACCAGCUCAGAACUGAGGAUCACUUCUUAGUCCCCCAGCUGAUGGUACUCUGUCUGUGGUCAGGUGACCUUACUCAGGAGUAGACCUCUCCUUGGCCUUCAUGGUACCUUAUCUCUCCAGAUGUGCCUGAAACAUUCCAGAGCUCACCGGCUCUUCUAGAUGUGCCUUCCUGCUUGGUCUUCAGCUGCUUCUCUAGAUGUGAGAAGGGCGUGCAAAACAGCCCCCACACUCAUCCCCUCCUCCCCUGAGACCCUGUACCAUAGGAAUGGCCACUUGACCUACUGGCCCAGAAUUUUUGGAUACUGGAGGCAGUCUCAUUGGCCUCCCUCGUUAGAAUCCGGGACUCAGUCCUACUUGAGACCAUUUUGGUUCUACCAGUGCAAAAAUCUAGAACUGAUUGUGGAUCUAAGAGAGGAUUUUUCUAGUGUUCUACAAAGGCCAAAAGAGAGGGUGAGAGUGGGAGGGGCCAGUAGCCAGAGGGGACCUAUGUGCCUCAUUUAAUAGUUUAGUGGUGAUUACUAAUUUGCUUUUCUGAAUAAAGUUUGGUUUGUCUGA
Molecule: long non-coding RNA, 2234 nt
Organism: Canis lupus familiaris (dog)
Lineage: Eukaryota; Metazoa; Chordata; Mammalia; Carnivora; Canidae
Exons: 2
Source: RefSeq, a predicted model, not a curated record